This 392-nucleotide ribosomal RNA is filed under the name uncultured Glomeromycotina. RNAcentral's name for it is "SSU rRNA". It matches the Rfam family "Eukaryotic small subunit ribosomal RNA", at positions 569 to 965 of the family's 1831-position model. The record is from RNAcentral. Lineage: Eukaryota; Fungi; Glomeromycota.
AGCAGCCGCGGUAAUUCCAGCUCCAAUAGCGUAUAUUAAAGUUGUUGCAGUUAAAAAGCCCGUAGUUGAAUUUCGGGGUCAGUGAGUUGGUCGUGCCACUGGUAUGCACUGGCUUUACUGAUUCCUCCUUCUUGAAGAACUGUAAUGCUAUUAAUUUAGUGUUGCAGGGAAACAGGACUGUUACUUUAGAAAAAUUAGAGUGUUUAAAGCAGGCUAACGCUUGAAUACAUUAGCAUGGAAUAAUGAAAUAGGACGUUUGAUCCUAUUUUGUUGGUUUCUAGGAUUGACGUAAUGAUUAAUAGGGAUAGUUGGGGGCAUUAGUACUCAAUUGUCAGAGGUGAAAUUCUUGGAUUUAUUGAAGACUGACUACUGCGAAAGCAUUUGCCAAGGAU